This 7447-nucleotide long non-coding RNA is filed under the name Sus scrofa (pig). RNAcentral's name for it is "lncRNA (ENSSSCG00025070365.1)". Lineage: Eukaryota; Metazoa; Chordata; Mammalia; Artiodactyla; Suidae. The record is from RNAcentral.
AACAGACCCAAGCCAAGCCCAGCUGAGUUCAGCCAACCUGUGGACCCAAGAGUAAAAAGAAAGAUAUGUCUGCUGUAAGCCACUGAGAUCUGGGGAUUAUUUGUUACAUAGCCAUGUCACAGCCACGCCUGACUAAUGAGUGUUCAUGAUUUUCUUUACAUGGAACCGCUCUAAUACUUGGAUCUGAGAUGCUCACUCUGAUGCAUAUCACUGAAGAAUUGAGGUCUAAGAAGCAGUCUUUUCCCCUUCAGACUUCUUUCCAUGGCCUCUUCCCAGAAUGUGCAUCUCCUACAUUUUCAGGACAGUUAAUCGCAUUGAAAAAUUCUGUCCAACAAGCCACUCUACAGACUCUCAGCCCUGCCAGUGCCUGACAAGGGCUAUUCUUGUUGUGGGAGGACCUCAGCUUUAUGGGGAGGAUGAUGGGGCUGAAGCUCGGAGAGACAGAGGGACCUAUGAAGCUGCAGCAGCAGGAGCAGAAAGCACAGCUGUGGGGCCUUCUGGAAAGAACAGAGAAGAGGAGCGGCCCUAUGCUGGCGCCGCACGAGGACAUCGUAAACCUGAACCAGGAUGUUCUUUGUGAUGACAGGGUAAUGCGGAGGUGGACGGAGUUGUUGGUAUGAGGGAUCAAGCUGUUCUAUUCAGGAGGGAAUGAAGAGUGAUGAGAAGAGAUGCUGCUCAAGCUGCUCAGAGCCUAGAGGGGAGACCUGAGACCUUAAAGAAGCAGACAGAAGGAGGAAGGGAGGAUCACGGGCCUUUCGUCGGUUCUACACGGUGUCACUUUACGGCAGAUUUCACGUGGGUGGCAGAGCUGAGCCUUUGCCGCGUGUUCCAGCUCCCAACUCCAUCCCUUUCUGGAUUCCCUGCUGGACACGUUCUUUCCUCUGGGACUAGCACACUUGGAUUUGGCUCAGUUCCUUCUGGAAGCCGAAGAUGAGCAGGAAGGAAGGAUCACGGGCCUUUCGUCGGUUCUACACGAUGUCACUUUACGGCAGAUUUCACGUGGGUGGCAGAGCUGAGCCUUUGCCGCGUGUUCCAGCUCCCAACUCCAUCCCUUUCUGGAUUCCCUGCUGGACACGUUCUUUCCUCUGGGACUAGCACACUUGGAUUUGUCUCAGUUCCUUCUGGAAGCUGAAGAUGAGCAGGUAAGUUCCCUUUCCACUUCUGGGCAUUUACCUGGUCCUGGAUAGUUGUGACCCAGUGCUCAGUCUGGCAUUUUUGGUUUGCCUGCUCAGGUUUCUUUUUGUGUUUGAUGUUGAGAUUUUGAAGUUUGCCUUUUCUGUGCCGGUGAGUCUAGUGUCCUGGGUCUGGCAUUCCCGAGCCUAACUUCAAAUACACAGGCUACCUUCUUCUCCUGCUUCUUUUCCAAGCAUGGCUUAUUAAUUCAGCUGAACAAUGUUGUUGCUAUUUCUAUUGACUGUAAGGUGAUGUGAGAGGCGGGGCUAUGGUGAUAAGGGGGUGGAGCCAUGGUGAUGAGGGAGAUGGAAAAGUCAAGAGAUUGAAAAGUCAAGAGUUGAGUCUCAUCCUUGCUCUUACGUCUCCUGAAAUUCUGGAUCAAGACCCUCAGAGUGUAGUAGUAACCAGCCUGAAAGUGCCUGUUACUCUUUUGAAAACCAUUGCUAGGAAGUAAGUAAACAGGAGUUUGUUAAAUUAUUUUCUGUUUUUGUUUUUUUUUGGUAUGUUUGAAAUAUUUCAUAUGUAAAAAUAAAAUAAUUCAAUUUAAUGCAUAAUAUUCUGACCUCCGUGCAUCCUGGGAAGAGGGUCAAUAGAGAUGAGGGAGGGGAAGUUAAGGAAGGAAGACAAUUCUCUUUCUCUUGAUUUGUUUUGGGCACAACUUUGAAACAGGGUAGCUAUGUCCCUGGCUUUUUCAUGCUUUCCCUUCUGCAACCUCACCUGCCUCUCACUUCAUCCAGGGUGACAGUCCCAUUCCAGGCAGCCCUUGAACACUGUACUUUCCAAAUGUUCUCUGCCUUCAAAAUUGGGGUGUGGCUAGAAGUGUUUAGAAAGUGCUUCAAUUAUCUAUUGAUGCUCAAUAAAUUGUCUUGAAAUGUGGUGUCUUAAAACAGCUAUUUUAUUUGGUCACACCCUAUGGGUCAGGGAAGUAGGAUAGGGCAUAUGGGGAUAGAUGGUUGACAGUCUGUGUGUGAUCCAUGAUGUCUGGUCAGGAAAAGUUUAACAUUGAACAUAGUGAUUAGGAAUGUGGGGAUAUGGGAUCAGAUUGCUGGGGCCCAAAUCCUAGUUUUUCCAUGUAUUAGCUGAUGAAAUAAUGAUAAUCAUAGCCACUAACCUCAUAUGAGUAUUGUCUUCAAGUUGACUUUCAGGUGCAUUCUAGUAUUUAGUCUAGAUUGCCCAACUCUGCUGAUAAUGGUGGUAUUGUUAUAUUAUCAUUGCCAUUUACACUUAACCUUGAAAACUCAGCCUAGGCAUAUACAGGCAAGUUCUGGGGUUAGGCUGUUAAGGUCUCACAUGGGAAGGAUAAGCAUUUUGUCCUGUAGACAAAGAGGAAUUUCCAGCUGGGGAAUGACAGGAUCAAGCCCCUUCUCCCUCCCUUGUUCCUGCUCCCUCUGCCCUUUCUUCCUCAUUUCCUCUUCUCUCCCCACUUUAAAACGAUGACAGUAUGUUCAAGUUGUGCAAAUCAAAGGAAUAGAUUAGAAACAGGAGAAUAAAUGUGCUUAGCAGACCCAGGAAAUCUCCAGGGGAUUGGAAUUGAUUACCCAGCAUGUAAUAUACAAAACCAUCAUUUUUCUGCAUGUGGUGAACAAUGGUGAACAAUGGAAGUGAAGUAACUCCCCACUCCAGUCCCCCUAAUCUGAUGGAAUUUUCUCAGUAAUGUUGUGGAGUCAUAGGGGUGAGCAUGCACCAACUGGGCCAAUUCCCACUGGCCUUUAUUUUCUGGAAGGGUUGGCAGCAGAGGAAGACCAGAACCUUUUCCAGUGCACAUACCUACUUUAAUAUGGAGAGGAUUCUGCCUGUCCUGGGAGAUGCUGCGACCUUGGGAAGUUGUGUGGAUGAAAAGAUACAUGCUUUAUAUCAGACUUAAAAAAUAUAUCCUGUUAUCUUUCACCAUGUAAGGAAGGACUUCUUUACAUGGGAUCUGUGUGAACCCCAUAUGGUCCCAUUGUCAUCUGGGGUGGUCCUGGUAUUGGACUUCACUGGAUCCAACAGGGCCAAAUUUACUUCAGUAAUUGGAAAAUCUUGACUGUAUGAUGGGUGCAGGUUAGAGAAUGUUAGGCAGUCAUAAGCUUCAGAGUUUGUUUUGUAGUUCCUUUUAGUUUCAGUUGAGAUUGGCCAUAAGAACUUCGCUUUUCAUGGGUUCAAGUAACCAUGGGGCUGAAUUUCACUUAGUACUCAUCUUUUUUUUUGAUUCUGAAGGUUGGAUUUAUUUGAAUAAAGGGACAAGGGUAACAUGAGCUGCCAACCUAUAUGACGUUUUUGCAUGUAGUAGAAAAAAGCACUCUUUUAUGGCAUAUGUAGCACAUCAAAGUCAUGACUUAGGAGCAAGCAUGGCUAUAUUUUAGCCCCCUAGUUAUCUCCUGAAGGGAGAGUCUAUGCAAUGCCCAACUCACACGUCCAAAUGUGGCAGCCUUGUGUGAAGGGAAAGUAUAUAAUAAUAGGCUGACUUAGUAAUUCAGAAGUGUGCCUGAGUUUGGGACAUCCUUUCUGAUUCAGUAGGUUUUGAUUAGUGGCUUAGAGUUUCUGAUUUAGUAGGUCUGAGGUAGGGCCCAAGAAUUUGGAUUUCUAGUAGGUUCCUAAGUGAUGCCAGUAACCCUGGCCUGGGAGUUACAUUUCGAGCACCACUUCUGUGGGGUGUAAUUCCAUGACCCAGAUUUCCUCACUUCCAGGUGCUAGUUACCUGAUUUGCUCAUCAAACUCAAAUAUGCUUCUUUAUACAGUGGUGUAGGUUGGUCCCAAAUAUAUGGCUUCACUGGAACUUUCUGGAAGAGGAUUCUUCUAGCUGUUUUCCUAGCACUUCCCUGUACUCUAGAAGGCCAUUGAUAAAUUUGGGUCUGUGGCACCUCAACCAGCUCAGCCAUCAGCAUCAGAGUAGAGUUGAACCAGUUCUCCUUUUCUAGACCCUUUGUAUCCUUCAUAAUUCUCUCCUGGAGUAUUGCUUCUUGGACUCAAAUGUCGCGUGCUUGAUUUUAGUCUAGAGAUUUAUUUUUAUAUAGUCUGGAGAAAACAGUGCUAUUUUUUGUCAUCUAAGUGCAAAAAACAAAACAAAACUUAGUGUACUAGGAAAUUAUGCAGAGACAGUUUAAUACUUGGACAACUUAAAACACGUGUGCGCAUGCACAGGGGCUUUCUCAGAGACAUCACUGAGUGAAUAAUAGGCUGCCUGGGCCCUUACAGCAGAGCCAAUGAAAUUUAGUUUUGCUCGAGUUUGGUUAUUGGUGUUAUGAUGCUCCCUCUGGGCCAUCAAGGAGUGAAACUGGAGCGCUCAUUUUUGGAGCUGUUGAAGUUUCAAGCUCCUUUGAGGUAUUGGCAGUGGGCUUGGCAUGCUUUCAGAUGUGGAUGGCUUUCCCACUAAUACCUCGCAGGCCCAUGGGACAUUUUUUUAAAAGUUUGAGCACCAAGUCAACCCAUCUCCUUAGUGGCAGUAGUUGCUUUAUCUGUGAGAAUAACUGUCCUUCUUAGCUUCUCAAUUUGUCACCUGUGCAGUGAUUUAUUACCUUCCAAAGCUGCAGUAAUUAUAUAAUGAUGCAAAAAUAAUGACAAGCCAUUCUGAUAAACUUUAUUACCUGUAGCAUCUUGUAUUCAAACUGCAUUCUAGCACACUCUGUAGGAUUACCAAGCACCCCUACAUGUGUGACAGCCAGCAGGGAGGGCGGCUUCUCAGGUCUGAGAGGAAAAGAGGAAAAGAAACAGGAUUCAAGCUUCCUGAACAGAGGCUGGGAAGAAUUGGGCUGGGGUGAGUUGAUUCCCAUUUGGGGCACAGGCCAAAUGGACUUAUCUCCAUUUUUAUCCCAACAAUUCAGUAUUCACUUGCCUAUUUUAAAUUGGGGCUAUAGAAUUGGCUCUUUAAACAAUCUUCAAUGAAAUAUAUAGUCAAAAGAAUGUAUAUAAAUGAUGUGCAGUUGAACUCUUAUUUUUAUCUUGAACCCGCACCUUUAGAGCCUCUCCUUUUUAUCAGAUGACAAAGUUUCCCCUGGAGCUGUGUUGCGAGGCACUGUCCAGUGUUCUAGUCUUGAGAGUGAAGGACUCAAGAAGGCUGACGUACAAAGUAACUUUCAGAUUUGCUUCUCAUUUUGGAAAAAUAUCUGAACUUAAAAUAUCUUUCAUGGGGAAUUGAGAACUGAGAUACAAAAUCAUAAUGUGGCUGGUAAGAGAGUUCUUUUAGUAAAUGCAGCUUGCCUAAUUUGGGUCUGUGGUUGGAGGGUCAGGUCUUCAAUUAUUUUCCUGAACCGAGGAGUAAUGCAGUCCCUAUAGCUGACUGUGGAGGCCAGGAUAAUGGAUAGGGGUCCUGUGCUGUCUUCCAUCUCCUUCCUGAUGACCAGCCAGUGACCUCAGGCAAUGCUUGUUUCUUUUAUGAUGGAUUCUCCUGGGAUUGUACCAGGGGGCUUAGGCCAGGCCUGUGUCCAGAGUUGGGCGGAGGUGCUUAAAAAUGAGGAAAAGUCAUGAUUAUAUCAGAGUACAGAUGAUUCCAGUACUACCAGUGCCCACAUUUCUCAUCUUGACAGGCUCUUAGUUGGAUUACAUUUCCUAGCCUCUUUUAUAGUUAGAUGGGAACAUGUGACCUAUUCUGACCAAUAGAAUGUAGGUAUUUCCAGGACCGGCCAUAAAUCUCCCAAGCGUGGCUCUCCCUUCUCUUUUUCUACCGCCUGACACCAGAGAAGGACUAUGUAAGACAGAAGAACUGUAGAUGGAAGUGGCCUUAGAAGUUGAGUUACUUCUUAAAGGAGAGACUCCUAGGAGUCCACAGAACUGUAAUGUGAAAGAGAAAUCUUUUUUUGUGUUAAAACAUUGAAGUUCCAGGGUCAACUUGUUAGUCUAGCAUAAUUUACCCUGUUCUGACUUCUUGGCUCUGAGAAUCUGUCUUUCUAGGGUCACAUCUGCUAGGGGUUGAAUUGGAGCUGUAGCUGCCAGGCCACAGCAACGCUGGGUCCCUAACCCACUGAGAAAGGCCACGGAUUUAACCCACAUCCUCAUGGAUACUAGUGGCGUUCAUUAUGGCCUAGGUCUUUCUGAUUGGCCAAGGCUGUGCUUUCUUCUUCUGAGUUCUCAAAAUUGGGAAGUAUCUCAGCAUGAGAAUGGUGAUUUGAACCCUGGAGAGUCCAGAUCUGUAGAUGCUGUCAGGGAGGUGGUGGUUUCAAGGCAAGGGCUAGGCAGGGCUUCUCAGUCUUGGCACUAUUGACAGUGGGGCCGGAUGGUUCUUAGUGGUGGGGACAGACUGGACAUUGUGAGAUGCUUAGCAGCAUCCCUGCUAGAUACCAAUAGUGCUUUCCACCUCCCUACAAAUUAUGACCAUCAAAAUAUCUCAAGACGUUAUUAAAGGUCCCUGGGGGAAGGGGGAAAAUCACCCUUAGUUGAGAACCACUGGUCUAGACAAAGGCAAAUCCCCAGCUUUAGACCUCAGGAGCACGAGUUUUCCUCUCUGCUUUUCCCUACUUCAUAUCAUGGAUUGAAGCAGUCUUUGCUUCCUCAUAAUACAUGAGGACCAGAGCUGGCGUUUUUUGCCAUUUGAGACUCUCCAGGAGUGGAGCACAUCAUCUCCACUGGCUUCCUUCCUUCCCUCAUAUUAGUAUCUGUAGCUGCAAAACAAAUUCCUUCAAAACUUAGUGGCUUAAAGCAACAAUAACUUACUAUAUUGCAGUUUCUGUGGGUCGGGAAUUUACGAAUAGCUUUGGUGGGUAGCUCUGGCCGAGGGUCUCACAUGUGGUUGCAGUCAAAAUGUUGGCGGCAGUCCAGUCCUCUGAAAGCUUGAUUGGGGAUGGAGAAAUUUGUUUCCAAAAUGGUCCCUCAGGUGGUUGUGGGCAGGAGACCUCAGUUCCUCACCAUGUAGGCUUCUGCAAAGUCUUCCUGGGCAUCCUUACAACGUGACAGCUGAUAAGAGCAAGUGGUUCAAUAGAAAGAGAAAAUGAGGAAGAAGCCUUGGGAUCUUUUAUGAUCUGAAGUCACACGCCACCACUUCUGCUUUUCUAUAGUCACUCAAAGCAAAUCACUAAGUUGGGCACCUGUUCCAGAGAAGGAGAAUUGGCCUCCACCUCUUGGAGGGAGGAGUGAAAAAGGAUGUGUGGACAUAUUUUGAAACUAUCACAUCCAGUACCAAGCUUUCUUUGCUUAGCUACACUGGGCUACUCUCCAACCCUUGACACAUGAGGUGUAUUCUUAGAUUUUGAACUCCCCCUACAGUACUUUUGCCCCAUCUUCCAGAUUUCCAAUUCUCACUGGACUGUAGCAUUACCCAGGAGUUACCUUUGGAAAAGAUCUGAUGAACUCAUUCAGGCAGGUU